Molecule: ribosomal RNA, 529 nt
Filed under: uncultured Deinococcus sp.
Lineage: Bacteria; Thermotogati; Deinococcota; Deinococci; Deinococcales; Deinococcaceae
Description: bacterial SSU rRNA
Rfam family: Bacterial small subunit ribosomal RNA
Source: RNAcentral
CCUACGGGAGGCAGCAGUUAGGAAUCUUCGGCAAUGGGCGCAAGCCUGACCGAGCGACACUGCGUGGAGGAUGAAGGUUUUCGGAUCGUAAACUCCUGAACCUGCGACGAUAAUGACGGUAGCAGGCUAAUAGCACCGGCUAACUCCGUGCCAGCAGCCGCGGUAAUACGGAGGGUGCGAGCGUUAUCCGGAAUCACUGGGCGUAAAGGGCGCGUAGGCGGUUUGCUAAGUCCGAUGUUAAAGCGUGGGGCUCAACCCCAUCACGGCGUUGGAUACUGGCAAGCUUGACGGCUGGAGAGGAAGGUAGAAUUACCAGUGUAGCGGUGGAAUGCGUAGAUACUGGUAGGAAUACCCAUAGCGAAGGCAGCCUUCUGGACAGUUAGUGACGCUGAGGCGCGAAAGUGUGGGGAGCAAACCGGAUUAGAUACCCGGGUAGUCCACACCCUAAACGAUGCAUACUUGGUGUUGGCCCGUUGGGGUCAGCGCCGGAGUAACGCGUUAAGUAUGCCGCCUGGAAGACGCCAACGGU